AGGUAAAGGCUCACCAAGCCGACGAUCUGUUAGCUGGUCUGAGAGGACGACCCAGCCACACUGGGACUGAGACACGGCCCAGACUCCUACGGGAGGCAGCAGUGGGGAAUUUUGGACAAUGGGCGCAAGCCUGAUCCAGCAAUGCCGCGUGCAGGAUGAAGGCCUUCGGGUUGUAAACUGCUUUUGUACGGAACGAAACGGUGAGCUCUAAUACAGUUUGCUAAUGACGGUACCGUAAGAAUAAGCACCGGCUAACUACGUG
RNAcentral lists this ribosomal RNA (262 nucleotides) under uncultured bacterium. Its description in RNAcentral is "partial 16S ribosomal RNA". It matches the Rfam family "Bacterial small subunit ribosomal RNA", at positions 255 to 507 of the family's 1533-position model. The record is from RNAcentral.